RNAcentral lists this small RNA (349 nucleotides) under uncultured Chroococcidiopsis sp. RNAcentral describes it as "bacterial LSU rRNA". It matches the Rfam family "Bacterial large subunit ribosomal RNA", at positions 1649 to 1973 of the family's 2925-position model. The record is from RNAcentral. Lineage: Bacteria; Bacillati; Cyanobacteriota; Cyanophyceae; Chroococcidiopsidales; Chroococcidiopsidaceae.
CGGCCGCGUCGACAGGUAGAGAAUACUAAGGGGCGCGAGAUAACUCUCUCUAAGGAACUCGGCAAAAUGGCCCCGUAACUUCGGGAGAAGGGGUGCCCCCUGAUGGAGGGGGGUCGGCAGUGAAGAGGCCCAGGCGACUGUUUAUCAAAACAACAGGUCUCCGCAAAGUACGCAAGACGCGGUAUGGGGGCGUGACGCCUGCCCAGUGCCGGAGGGUUAAGGAAGUCGGUCAGGGGGUAACCCUAAAGCUGGCGACCGAAGCCCCGGUGAACGGCCAUAUCAAUGCCAACGAGUGCCACUACUGCCUCGAUUGCCAGAUGACCUACCACAACGAGCACAAGUGCCCGUC